Molecule: ribosomal RNA, 374 nt
Filed under: uncultured bacterium
Lineage: Bacteria
Description: bacterial SSU rRNA
Rfam family: Bacterial small subunit ribosomal RNA
Source: RNAcentral
ACGUAGGGACCAAGCGUUGUUCGGAUUUACUGGGCGUAAAGGGCGCGUAGGCGGCAAUUCAAGUCAUCUGUGAAAUCUCCGGGCUUAACUCGGAACGGUCAGAUGAUACUGCUUUGCUAGAGUGCAGAAGGGGCAAUCGGAAUUCUUGGUGUAGCGGUGAAAUGCGUAGAUAUCAAGAGGAACACCUGAGGUGAAGACGGGUUGCUGGGCUGACACUGACGCUGAGGCGCGAAAGCCAGGGGAGCAAACGGGAUUAGAUACCCCGGUAGUCCUGGCCCUAAACGAUGAAUACUUGGUGUCUGGAAUUAUUAUUGUUCCGGGUGCCGUCGCUAACGUUUUAAGUAUUCCGCCUGGGGAGUACGCACGCAAGUGUG